Molecule: long non-coding RNA, 1958 nt
Filed under: Physcomitrium patens
Lineage: Eukaryota; Viridiplantae; Streptophyta; Bryopsida; Funariales; Funariaceae
Description: long non-coding RNA (PPAT_LNC008324)
Source: RNAcentral
UUGAUUUGGGAUGAAGGAAUAGCUUUCUUCAAUACACUUAUUUCACUCUUUGUAGAUUUUGUUUAUAUAAAACCUUUAUAUUAUACAAUUAUCAAUGAGAUAUACAUGCCAAAAAAUUAAUUUAAAAACUCAAAAAUAAAAAAAACACAUUGAUAUUUUUUUAUUAACUGUUUAGAUUAAUUAAUUAACUAAUUUUUGUGGAUCUUAUCUACAAGAUACUUUCUUAUUUAUUUUAUUUUUUUUCAUGGCAAAAACAAUGACAACUUUUUAUUAAAAAAAUCACAAAUUUGCAGUAUGUAAAUGAAAUCCAAUAAUUUGUCAAACAAUGGUCUAAAAUAGUGUAGUAGAAUAACAAAUUGAUUACGUUUAUUUAAAAAUAAUCUUUAAAACAUCUUCAAAAACAAAUGUCAUGUAGCGUCCAAAAGAUGCAAAUUUUAUAGAACAUAUGUUUUAAACCAUUUACAGUCCAAUAUGUUAUGUCCAAAAAUUAUUUGUUUUUAUUACUUUGAUUUCAAUUUGCUAGUUGCGAGUAAAAAUAAAUUAAAAUAUACUGGUAUUUACAAAACGAUUUAGCUAUAAUUAUUUUUGUUAUAUUAUUGUCACUAUAAACUUUGAUUAUAAUAAGAAUAUUAAUGAUGUAAAAAUAUAUCAAGCACCUUUCAUCUUGUUAGCCUUUGAUUACUUGUUAUUGACACAUAUCAUUGAUUAUAUAUCAAUUAUCAUGGUAAUUAUAAUAUUAAUGUUUUUCAAUGUUUUUUCUUUCUGUCAUUCUUAAGGUAAUUAUACUGAAGGAAAAUAUCCCAUUAAUGCUGCUGUUCUAUUGAAGUGACAUUGAUCUACUUGUGUUGUAAAAUGGUGGGGAUGCAUACAUUUUUGUGAUUCAUUUUAUAAAGCUACCAAAUUUAUUUUUUAAAAAAUAAAAAAUAAAAAAAGAAACAAACUCUUUGGUUCUAAGUUUAAUUCGUUUGUAACAACUUCUUUAAUUUUAUUUUCAUGUGAACUCACUUUUAAAUUUUUUUUACAAAUUAUCUUGGAUAAAAUUAUUUUAUUUUUUAUAUUUCAUUUCUUAUCAAAAUUCUACUUAAUAUUGCCAUAACUAUCAAUUCGAUUUUAAUUUUUUGUGUGGUAUCUUUGCAUACAUGUGAAAAAAUUCAAAUGUGGUUUUGUUAGAUACCAAAGGUGAGCAAAAUACCCUUCUAAUUUCAAAACAAGGUCAUGCUAGAAUCUUGUAGACAUGUGCCAUAGAUAUUCAACUGAAUGUAACGUUUUUUGGCACAAGUCUGGAACUUUGAGGCUUCUAGAAUUUGUUUAAUUGAAAAAUGCAUUGAAAUUGUUAAGAUUUGAGGAAAUUAUAUAAUCAAACAAACACACUAUUAGAAUUUAUCACUACAAUAGACACAAUGACAAAUAAAUUAUUUCUUAAUCUUAGAAGUUUAUAUGUAAUCAACACCAAGAUUUUUAGUGUGCUAAAAAAUUAUUUAAAAACUUAUGACUCAAAUUAAAAUCCCAACUACACAAUUGAGAGAUGGAACCCCACAACGGCAACUUAAAGCAAUGAUAUGAAAAAAUACCUCUACUCUGAACUUUCUACUUCCAAUAGAAAAUUUCUACUUAUAUCUUUGGAGCUUUCUAUCAUAAAACUUUUCAUCAAAGUGCAGAUUAAAGACUUGAUGGGAUAAAACUCUCAGAUAUACCAUCAAGAAGAAGGACUAAAUUUAAAUUAAGCAAAAAGGUACAUUUUAUUUUAUUUUCUUUGCUUUUGAGGUUUUUUCAUUCACAUCCUCUUCUUGUAAUGUGAUUAGACCAAUUUUUUAUUUUUUUAUUUCCUUAUUUUCUCAUUAGUGGAUAAUAAAUGGCACAAAUAUUAACACAAAAAAAAUGUAUUAUUCGAAAUGAAUCAGCAUGGUAUGUAGAAGUUUGAAAAUGCACUAUAGAGCGCGUGAUACUUGACUUUUGAU